AUACGAAGGGGGCUAGCGUUGUUCGGAUUUACUGGGCGUAAAGCGCACGUAGGCGGAUUGAUAAGUUAGGGGUGAAAUCCCGAGGCUCAACCUCGGAACUGCCUCUAAUACUGUCAAUCUCGAGACCGGAAGAGGUGAGUGGAACUCCUAGUGUAGAGGUGGAAUUCGUAGAUAUUAGGAAGAACACCAGUGGCGAAGGCGGCUCACUGGUCCGGUACUGACGCUGAGGUGCGAAAGCGUGGGGAGCAAACAGGAUUAGAAACCCUAGUAGUCC
RNAcentral lists this ribosomal RNA (274 nucleotides) under uncultured bacterium. Its description in RNAcentral is "partial 16S ribosomal RNA". It matches the Rfam family "Bacterial small subunit ribosomal RNA", at positions 523 to 796 of the family's 1533-position model. The record is from RNAcentral.